AUCAGAGCAUAACUUCCGUGUUGCUUCUCUCCUUCCACAGAAAACUCAGGUGGUCAGGCUUGGUGGCAAGCGCCUACACCCGGCGAGCCGUCUCGCAGACACUUACACUGGGGACAUUGACUUCAAGCUAAGCAUUUCCAACUCCUAGAACCAAAGCAGGCUGAAGCGAGAUGACCCAGGGGCCAGUCACCCAGGAGAAGGCUGCCUCCGGCUUCUGGCUGGCCGACUGCGCAUGUCCUCCCAGCACAGUGCCCGCUACAGUCGAGAAAGCCUCGGCCAAGCCCGCACCCGACAGGCUCGGGGCUACAAGGCUUGUGGGGUUUAACCUGGGUCGACCUCCAGGAAAAUCAAGAUCAGAGCGGAGACGUGCUGAGAGGUAGGGACAGUCUGGAGUCUUAGGAGGUGGGACUUGGGCGGAUGCACUCCUCUGGGCGCUCACGGUGCGUGGUGGAUACUCUGACCCGCUCCUCUUGGCUGACCACGCACGAGGGCAGUCAUCCUGGGGAAACUGAGGCCGCCAAAGUCAUAGGGCUCAUCCGAACAUCCUGCCCCAACCCGGCGCGGCAUCCAAGCACCUGCUCCAUCUGGGGACACCCGGAGGUCUAGGCCGCCACACAUAGCCCAGGGGGAGCGGUGAUAAAGAUGCGGAACUCGUCGCGCGAACGCAGAGGGGAGGGAGGAGGCGUUGAGAGUCUUGCGCCAUGUGAGCUGGAUCCGCGUGGGUCCCGUCAACCCAGCCGCUGUUGACGACGCCCAGGACCCGGAGUCCUGUGGACACAGCAUUCGGGUGACCUCGGAGCCUCAAGAGAUCUGCAGCUCGCCUGCUCCAACGCCCCUUCCCCAAUAUCCCUUCCUUAGAACCUCGGUCCCCUCCUGCAUCCUUCUGUUCUAUGAUACCUUCCAGAGCCUCAAGAGGGCGCUGUGGGCGCGCUGCUGGAGGCCGCGCCUCCUGCCUCCAACUUAAGGUCCGAGCUGGAACUAGCUUUUGACACGAGCUCUUGAAUACGUGUGUGGGACAGGCAAGGUGACAUAACCCUGAAGCCUCAAUCGCAGGAGAGAAAUAAAGGCUUUUUUCCUUGUUUACUCUUUCUUACCUUGAA
Molecule: long non-coding RNA, 1100 nt
Filed under: Mus musculus (house mouse)
Lineage: Eukaryota; Metazoa; Chordata; Mammalia; Rodentia; Muridae
Description: predicted gene, 49032
Source: RNAcentral